AUGGCGUCUUCAUCUCUAUCAGUGGCGCUGCUCCUUCUCUGCCUGGCCGCGGCGGCGUCGGCGCAGCUGUCCCCGACGUUCUACGACGCGUCGUGCCCCGGGGCGCUGGCCACCAUCAAGAGCGGCGUGGCGGCCGCCGUGAGCAGCGACCCCCGCAUGGCCGCGUCGCUGCUCCGGCUGCACUUCCACGACUGCUUCGUCCAAGGCUGCGACGCGUCCGUUCUGCUGGCCGGCAACGAGCGGAACGCAUUCGGGAACGUGGGAUCACUGCGGGGCUUCGACGUCAUCGACAAAAUCAAGGCGACUGUGGAGCAGUCGUGCAAGCGCAUCGUCUCCUGCGCCGACAUCCUCGCCGUCGCCGCUCGCGAUUCCGUCGUCGCGGUGGGAGGGCCGUCGUGGACGGUCUCUCUGGGGAGGAGGGACUCCGACACGGCUAGCGAGGCAUUGGCCAACCGCGACCUGCCUGCCCCAUCGCUCGCCGUCACCGACCUCAUCACCCGCUUUGCCGCGAAGGGGCUCAACCUCACUGAUAUGGUUGCCCUCUCUGGUGCGCACACCAUUGGGCAGGCGCAGUGCAAGAACUUCAGGACCAGGCUCUACAACGAGGCCAACAUUGAUCCGGACUUUGCGAUGUUGCGCAACGCCAGCUGCCCUCAGGCUACCGGCUCUGGCGACGGCAAUCUGGCCCCGCUGGACUCGAUGACCCCGAACAUGUUUGACAACACCUACUUCCUCAACCUCCAACUCAACAAGGGGCUCCUGCACUCCGACCAGGUGCUCUACACCCUUGUCGGCGGUGCCACCGAAGACAUCGUUGAUGGCUUCGCAUCUAACCAGGAUGCGUUCAACAACGUCUUUGCCGCGGCCAUGGUGAAGAUGGGAAACAUCAGCCCCUUGAUUUUCCCACAGGGUCAGGUUAGGCGCAUUUGCUCCAAGGCGACCUAA
This 945-nucleotide ribosomal RNA is filed under the name Triticum aestivum (bread wheat). RNAcentral describes it as "partial small subunit ribosomal RNA". The record is from RNAcentral. Lineage: Eukaryota; Viridiplantae; Streptophyta; Magnoliopsida; Poales; Poaceae.